CCUACGGGUGGCAGCAGUGGGGAAUAUUGGGCAAUGGGCGCAAGCCUGACCCAGCAACGCCGCGUGAAGGAAGAAGGCUUUCGGGUUGUAAACUUCUUUUCUGAGGGACGAAGAAAGUGACGGUACCUCAGGAAUAAGCCACGGCUAACUACGUGCCAGCAGCCGCGGUAAUACGUAGGGGGCGAGCGUUAUCCGGAUUCAUUGGGCGUAAAGCGCGCGCAGGCGGACCGUUAAGCGGGACCUCUAAUCCUGGGGCUCAACCUCAGGCCGGGUCCCGAACUGGCGGUCUCGAGUGCGGUAGGGGAGGUCGGAAUUCCCGGUGUAGCGGUGGAAUGCGCAGAUAUCGGGAAGAACACCGAUGGCGAAGGCAGACCUCUGGGCCGACACUGACGCUGAGGCGCGAAAGCUAGGGGAGCGAACAGGAUUAGAUACCCCAGUAGUC
This 442-nucleotide ribosomal RNA is filed under the name uncultured bacterium. RNAcentral's name for it is "partial 16S ribosomal RNA". It matches the Rfam family "Bacterial small subunit ribosomal RNA", at positions 338 to 795 of the family's 1533-position model. The record is from RNAcentral.